This is a non-coding RNA of Oscillatoriales cyanobacterium, 167 nucleotides long. NCBI's taxonomy places the organism in Bacteria, Bacillati, Cyanobacteriota, Cyanophyceae, Oscillatoriales. The record is from Rfam.
AAACCCGCGAGGGGAUGUCUGGAGGAAGCUGGCGGCAAAGCUGCAAGCUGACGGACAGAAACGUCAUAGAAGGCCGAGACCCCCAGGAUGAGUUGGCACAACACAACGAAAUCCUUUGGUUCACGGGGCACGGUAAAUGGCGCGGUUGUGCAGUGAAGGUUCAUGUU